GACGAACGCUGGCGGCGUGCUUAACACAUGCAAGUCGAACGGACAGGCCCUGCUUUUGUGGGGUUCUCGUGUGGCGAACGGGUGAGUAACACGUGAGUAACCUGCCCUUGACUUUGUGAUAACUUCACGAAACUGGGGCUAAUACCGGAUAUGAGCUCCUGCUGCAUGGUGUUGGUUGGAAAGUUUCGGCGGUUGGGGCUGGACUCGCGGCUUAUCCGCUUGUUGGUGGGGUAGUGGCUUACCAAGGCUUUGACGGGUAGCCGACCUGGGAGGGUGGCCGGCCACCUUGGGCCUGAGAUACGGCCCAGACUCCUACGGGAGGCAGCAGUGGGGAAUAUUGCACAAUGGGCGGAAGUCUGAUGCAGCAACGCCGCGUGCGGGAUGACGGCCUUUGGGUUGUAAACCGCUUUCGCCUGUGACGAAGCGUGAGUGACGGUAAUGGGUAAAGAAGCACCGGCUAACUACGUG
Molecule: ribosomal RNA, 468 nt
Filed under: uncultured bacterium
Lineage: Bacteria
Description: partial 16S ribosomal RNA
Rfam family: Bacterial small subunit ribosomal RNA
Source: RNAcentral